This 1439-nucleotide long non-coding RNA is filed under the name Cricetulus griseus (Chinese hamster). RNAcentral describes it as "lncRNA (ENSCGRG00015029742.1)". The record is from RNAcentral. Lineage: Eukaryota; Metazoa; Chordata; Mammalia; Rodentia; Cricetidae.
AGAAAACUCAAGGUGGGGGGAGUUUUUGAGAUUAACCUGGGGGUUGUACACCCACCCACCCUUUAGAUGAUUCAUCCAGAGGUUCUCCUUACACAGGAGUGCUAAUCUGAGUGGGGCCUGAGAGCACGAGUGUCUUACAAGUUCCAGGUGAUGGUGAUGCUGACCUGUGACCAUGUUUGAAGAACCACUGACUGAAACAACUUUAAAGCCCCUUCUCCAACAGGGUCUCUUGACUUAGGAGCUGAUUGGGCCUGAUGAUUCUGCCCACAUGAAUGGGUUAAUGUCACUAAGGAGAAAGCAGAUUGCAGACCGCCUUGAUCCUUCGGCCUCCAUGGACAAAUACGAGGCUCUCUGCUUCCUCAAGGACCAUCAGUGAAGCUGAUCUCAAAGUGGGAGCUUGACCAGUAAUGUGGAUGAACUAUAUCUGACGUGAGCCCAUCACAAAAUCGGUCCCUCUCCGUUUAUCAUCCGAACCUGAGAACGGGAGCCUUCACGUGGGUGGGCCACCAUGAACUGGGAUGACGAUCCACCCUGGAGAAGGACAGGGGAGAGGUGGCCCUGGGAAUCCAGAGGAUAUCCACCGAUUACCGUUUGGAUGCCUGGCCUCGGUGGGGAAUCAUGGCUCCUAUUUCUGUAUAACGAAAGUCUUGAGCCAGGAUCAAGAUGUGAGCUCUCAGCUGUUCCCGCUGCCAUGCCAUUGCUGUGCCUUCAUGGACUCUAACCUUCUGAAUUCCUGAGCUUCUGGCUUCUUGCUGGCAUCUUCUCCAGACAGAAACAUUGGACUUAUGCCACAAACUCCACAAGUACAUGUGACCUGAGGACAACUCCCCUCCUGGGAAGAGCACUAGACCUACACCAGUAACUCCACCUAUCCUGGAGACCCACCUAUGCCACAAAGGCCACAUGUCUUACACCUGCUUCUUCUCCAGCUCAGGCUGUAAGGUGAUCCUGGCUCCACUAAAGCUCAGACUGAAAUCCCAGACUUGCUAUGCUGUCCUCAACAAGGCUGGAGAAUCCUGAGACUUCCUAUCUUCGAUAGUCUCCUAGAUGCACUGGAGGGGUACCAGGACUGCCAUACCCAGUGACUCCAACCUGCAGGAAGAAGCCAGAUUUGGCCAUUGCUCCAAUUCCUGAAGGAAGCAUGAUGAGAGCAGGCAUUAGAAGCUGACCAGGAAGAGCAGGGAUUCCAAAGCAGCAAACCCAAGGAUGUCGGAAGAGUCUGAGUCUGUUACCUCCUCUAGAUGAAGACCUCUGAAAAUCCACCGUGAGGAUGAAACUGAGAGGAGGCACCCAGACACCUGGAUGGGUAACUGAGCUGAACAGCUCAUCCGCCUCUCAUAAGUCACCCCAGUGUAACAGUUCAAACCUAUUUCCCAGAACCCUUCUUACUAUCUCUCUUUUUCUUUUAAGGUACCACUAUAUAAUAAAUUUCUCUGUAG